GCCACCCUAGCUCAGUUGGUAGAGCAGCUAUCUCGUAAGUAGCAGGCCGUCGGUUCAAGUCCGAUGGGUGGCUC
This 74-nucleotide transfer RNA is filed under the name Bacteroidetes bacterium OLB9. RNAcentral's name for it is "tRNA-Thr". It matches the Rfam family "tRNA". Rfam says of the family: Transfer RNA (tRNA) molecules are approximately 80 nucleotides in length. Their secondary structure includes four short double-helical elements and three loops (D, anti-codon, and T loops). The record is from RNAcentral. Lineage: Bacteria; Pseudomonadati; Bacteroidota.